This is a long non-coding RNA of Juglans microcarpa x Juglans regia, 684 nucleotides long. RefSeq lists it as uncharacterized. NCBI's taxonomy places the organism in Eukaryota, Viridiplantae, Streptophyta, Magnoliopsida, Fagales, Juglandaceae. The transcript is spliced from 2 exons. The record is from RefSeq and is a predicted model, not a curated record.
UAUUCAAAUACAUAUAUGUUCCAGCCAUGGAUAUGCAUAUUAUUCAGGGUAUAUGCAUAAAAAAGUCAUCUUCCAAGAUAAUGAAAGCUAGCUUAAGGGUUAGCAUGCAGAGUUACUUUAGACCAAAGUUUAUGAAAGUCAAUGAUCUAUCAUCUACCCACUUGCUUCAGAUAUCUAUAAUGAUCCCCACCUUUGCCCUUCUUAUCAACAAGAGAAGACAGCCUCUCACUUCCAUUUUUCCUUUAAAAAGUUGGAAAAAAAAAAAAGUAAAAACCCUUAAACAAAGCACUCCACAUCUUUCUCUGAGUUGACAGACUUAAAGCGUUCCAACUUCCAACACCAAAGGAGUCUGUUUUCUCUAUCUGUGAUGAAUGCUUUCCUUUUUCCCGAUCACAGAGUAUAAUAGGCCGGUGAUGAUUUUCUGCUGAAGAAGAUGGUUUUAAUUAUUUGUGUUGACAGAAGAUAGAGAGCACAACUGAACAAACCCAACAAAGGCUUUGUGUUUGAGCUGUUUGUGCUCUCUCUUCUUCUGUCACCAUAAUUUUCUGCUGUUUCGAACAUUAUCAUCCUCCUUGCCUCGGGGUUUUCUGUUAUAUCUCCAUGUUCUGUUAAGGUAAGAUGCAUGAAUACUUGGUUCUUGCUAUAAGGUUAAUUAUCCUCAACUGAACUUUGUUCCGGGGUUUG